GAUGAACGCUGGCGGUAUGCCUAACACAUGCAAGUCGAACGGAGUUCUUCGGAACUUAGUGGCGGACGGGUGAGUAACACGUGAGAACCUACCUUCAGAAUGGGGACAACAGUUGGAAACGACUGCUAAUACCCAAUGUGCCGAAAGGUGAAAGAUUUAUCGUCUGAAGAUGGGCUCGCGUCUGAUUAGCUAGAUGGUGGGGUAAGAGCCUACCAUGGCAACGAUCAGUAGCUGGUCUGAGAGGAUGAGCAGCCACACUGGGACUGAGACACGGCCCAGACUCCUACGGGAGGCAGCAGUGGGGAAUUUUCCGCAAUGGGCGAAAGCCUGACGGAGCAAUACCGCGUGAGGGAGGAAGGUCCUUGGAUUGUAAACCUCUUUUAUCAGGGAAGAAGUUCUGACGGUACCUGAUGAAUAAGCAUCGGCUAACUCCGUGCCAGCAGCCGCGGUAAUACGGAAGAUGCAAGCGUUAUCCGGAAUUAUUGGGCGUAAAGCGUCCGUAGGUGGUUAUGCAAGUCUGCCGUUAAAGAAUGGAGCUUAACUCCAUAGGAGCGGUGGAAACUGCAAGACUAGAGUACAGUAGGGGUAGCAGGAAUUCCCAGUGUAGCGGUGAAAUGCGUAGAUAUUGGGAAGAACAUCGGUGGCGAAAGCGUGCUACUGGGCUGAAACUGACACUGAGGGACGAAAGCUAGGGUAGCGAAAGGGAUUAGAUACCCCUGUAGUCCUAGCCCGUAACGAUGGAUACUAGGCGUGGCUUGUAUCGACCCGAGCCGUGCCGAGGCUAACGCGUUAAGUAUCCCGCCUGGGG
Molecule: ribosomal RNA, 808 nt
Filed under: uncultured cyanobacterium
Lineage: Bacteria; Bacillati; Cyanobacteriota
Description: bacterial SSU rRNA
Rfam family: Bacterial small subunit ribosomal RNA
Source: RNAcentral